AUGGCGAGGGUGCUGGUGGUGGGCGCGGGGCUGACCGGCGGCGCCUGCGCGGCGCUGCUGCGGGGGGCGGUGCGGGGUCGCGUCGUCGUGUGGGACAAGGCGCGCGGCGCAGGGGGCCGCAUGAGCACGAGCCGCAGCGCGGGGGACGCCGCCUGCAGCGCCGACCUGGGAGCGCAGUACGUCAGCCCGCGGGCGGGGCGCGCCGGGCCGCGCGGCAGCUUCUACGAUGAACUUCUGUCUCAUGGCAUCUUGAAACCACUGACUGCACCCAUUGAAGGAAUGGUAGAGAAGGAAGGCUCUUGCAAUUACAUGGCACCUCAGGGCAUCUCCUCAGUUGUCAAGUAUUAUUUAAAACAGUCAGGUGCAGACGUCUUCUAUGGAUACCACGUAACUCACAUCUCUCUUCGAGAUGGGAAAUGGGAAGUCUCCAGGAAAAUGGGACCACCAGAACUGUUUGAUAUAGUUAUUCUCACAAUGCCUGUUCCACAAGUUCUUCAGCUACAAGGUGACAUUGUAAACAUAAUUAAUCAAAGGCAAAAGCAGCAACUGGAAGCUACAAGCUACUCCUCCCGCUACGCUCUGGGACUUUUUUAUGAAGCUGGUGUGUGUAUUGAUGUCCCCUGGGCUGCAAAGUACAUCACCGAUAAUCCCUGCAUACGCUUCAUCUCCAUCGAUAAUAAGAAACGCAAUAUAGAGUCUCCUGAAAUUGGACCUUCAGUUGUAGUUCAUACAACUGUGACAUUUGGGAGUGAGCACCUGGAUUCAGACCCUGCAGAGGUACAGCAGUUAAUUCUCAGCCACCUGGAAAGCGUUGUGCCAUCCCUGCCCAAACCAGCUAGUGUCAAGUGUCAGAAAUGGAGAUACUCACAGCUUGAUGCUGCUGCUGGAAAUGAUGUGCCACUGAAACGAUGGUACCUGUGUUGGCUGUGGUCCAAGCAACAUCAGCCCAGCAGUGCUGGAAGAAGAAAGGAUGGAGAAAAGGUGAAAUAGACACUGUCCAUGUUUCUAAUGCUCUCAUAGAAAUAGGGCUGCUGUACCAAAGGCAUCUUGGGACUUACCUUGACAUCUGGACCGUAACACGAGUUUAACACAGUAAAGCAUGCCAGCCAAGAAAAGAGAUGCACUUUAAAUAGUUCAGUAUUUGCCAGGUUGGAGAGUCACUAGUGUAUUACGGCUCUCUGCUGCCUUGCAUGAGGAGCAGCUUUUUCCUCCCUCCAGAACCCAAAUUUAAAACUACAUUUUAUUAUUGUGUAGGCAUCAAUCAGCUCCAAACCCUUAGGUUUCCAUCACUGCGUGUUGCUCAGAAACAGGAAAGAGUGGUGAGCAUUUAUGUGCACAAAUUUUUUACAAGAACACAUGAACUCCUGUCUUGCAAGGAUGAAGGUAGCCAAGAAGAGCCACAUGGUCAUGGAAUAAAUCUAAUCUGGUGAGGAAUUUAGUAUUGGCUUGAUCUAGUGAGAGCUCAGAAGCAACCAAAGUCCAAGCUGAAGCAGUUUGAUUUUGCAGUGCUGGAAAACCUUAAUUAAUGAACCAUAGCUCACUAAGGAUGGCAUACAAAACCAACCAAGCCACAUUUUUGCAGAUUUGCUCCUCAGCUUCCAUCCAGGCCUAGGCAUCCUCCAGGAAUUGGUUGCCAAAGGAAAAACAUUUAUUCUGUGGUACUGGAACAUACAAGAGGGUUUACCACUGGGUACACAGUUCCUCUGGAAGGUGCCACCAUGACAGUGGGGCCAGCUGUUGCUGGUGGUGAUGAUGGUGAUGGUUUGUGGGGACCCAUCCCGCCAAUAUCCUUUCAUCCAAGCCUUAAUACACAGAGAUUUUGCAUUAAACCACACUAAACUUGCACUUCCUUCCCCUCCUUCAAUUUUGAAUGGAAUUGAGCCAAACUACUGAAAAUCCAAAUAAAGAUCAAUCCUGAAAAGUGUG
RNA transcript from Cygnus olor (mute swan), 1926 nucleotides. It is a transcript of the gene named renalase, FAD dependent amine oxidase, with no coding region annotated. The transcript is spliced from 8 exons. Lineage: Eukaryota; Metazoa; Chordata; Aves; Anseriformes; Anatidae. The record is from RefSeq and is a predicted model, not a curated record.